GAUGAACGCUGGCGGCGUGCCUAAUACAUGCAAGUCGAGCGAACGGACGAGAAGCUUGCUUCUCUGAUGUUAGCGGCGGACGGGUGAGUAACACGUGGAUAACCUACCUAUAAGACUGGGAUAACUUCGGGAAACCGGAGCUAAUACCGGAUAAUAUUUUGAACCGCAUGGUUCAAAAGUGAAAGACGGUCUUGCUGUCCCUUAUAGAUGGAUCCGCCCUGCAUUAGCUAGUUGGUAAGGUAACGGCUUACCAAGGCAACGAUGCAUAGCCGACCUGAGAGAGUGAUCGGCCACACUGGAACGGGAACACGGUCCAGACUCCUACGGGAGGCAGCAGUAGGGAAUCUUCCGCAAGGGGCGAAAGCCUGACGGAGCAACGCCGCGUGAGUGAUGAAGGUCUUCGGAUCGUAAAACUCUGUGAUUAGGGAAGAACAUAUGUGUAAGUAACUGUGCACAUCUUGACGGUACCUAAUCAGAAAGCCACGGCUAACUACGUG
Molecule: ribosomal RNA, 497 nt
Filed under: uncultured bacterium
Lineage: Bacteria
Description: partial 16S ribosomal RNA
Rfam family: Bacterial small subunit ribosomal RNA
Source: RNAcentral